RNAcentral lists this ribosomal RNA (251 nucleotides) under uncultured prokaryote. RNAcentral describes it as "partial 16S rRNA". It matches the Rfam family "Bacterial small subunit ribosomal RNA", at positions 525 to 775 of the family's 1533-position model. The record is from RNAcentral.
ACAGAGGUCCCAAGCGUUGUUCGGAUUCACUGGGCGUAAAGGGUGCGUAGGUGGCUGGGUAAGUUCGGUGUGAAAUCUCCAGGCUCAACCUGGAAAUGGCAUUGAAUACUAUUCAGCUCGAGGGUUGUAGGGGAGACUGGAAUUCUCGGUGUAGCAGUGAAAUGCGUAGAUAUCGAGAGGAACACCAGUGGCGAAGGCGAGUCUCUGGACAACUCCUGACACUGAGGCACGAAAGCUAGGGGAGCAAACAG